Molecule: ribosomal RNA, 460 nt
Filed under: uncultured bacterium
Lineage: Bacteria
Description: partial 16S ribosomal RNA
Rfam family: Bacterial small subunit ribosomal RNA
Source: RNAcentral
CCUACGUGAGGCAGCAGUGAGGAAUAUUGGUCAAUGGCCGGAAGGCUGAACCAGCCAUGCCGCGUGAAGGUCAGUGCCCUAUGGGCGUUAAACUUCUUUUGUGCGGGAGCAAUAAUGGUCACGUGUGGCCAGACGAGAGUACCGUACGACUACGCAUUGGCUAACUCCGUGCCAGCAGCCGCGGUAAUACGGGGGAUGCGCGCGUUAUCCGGAUUUAUUGGGUUUAAAGGGUGCGUAGGCUGUGAGGUAAGUCAGCGGUGAAAUGCCCCCGCUCAACGGGGUGAAGUGCCAUUGAUACUGCCUUGCUGGAAUGCGGAUGCCGUGGGAGGAAUGUGUGGUGUAGCGGUGAAAUGCAUAGAUAUCACACAGAACACCGAUUGCGAAGGCAUCUCACGAAUCCGCGAUUGACGCUGAUGCACGAAAGCGUGGGUAUCAAACAGGAUUAGAUACCCCUGUAGUC